CAGCUGCUUAAUCCUAUAUACACGUCUGUCUUCCUACAGUUUUCCCUACAAAAGAAACUUUCUUGGGGCUCCUGGGUGGCUCAGUUGGUUGGGUGUCUGCCUUGGGCCCAGGUCAUGAUCUCAGGGUCCUGGGAUCGAGCCCCGCAUCGGGCUCUCUGCUCAGCAGGGAGCCU
Lutra lutra (Eurasian river otter) is the source of this 173-nucleotide long non-coding RNA. RefSeq lists it as uncharacterized. The transcript is spliced from 2 exons. Lineage: Eukaryota; Metazoa; Chordata; Mammalia; Carnivora; Mustelidae. The record is from RefSeq and is a predicted model, not a curated record.